RNAcentral lists this ribosomal RNA (253 nucleotides) under uncultured bacterium. Its description in RNAcentral is "partial 16S ribosomal RNA". It matches the Rfam family "Bacterial small subunit ribosomal RNA", at positions 524 to 776 of the family's 1533-position model. The record is from RNAcentral.
UACAGAGGUGGCAAGCGUUGUUCGGAAUUACUGGGCGUAAAGGGCGCGUAGGCGGUCUUGUAAGUCUUGUGUGAAAUCCCUCGGCUUAACUGAGGAACUGCACGAGAUACUGCAAGACUUGAGAUCGGGAGAGGGAAGCGGAAUUCCGGGUGUAGCGGUGAAAUGCGUAGAUAUCCGGAGGAACACCGGUGGCGAAGGCGGCUUCCUGGACCGACACUGACGCUGAGGCGCGAAAGCUAGGGGAGCAAACGGG